AGCCCUAAGGAGUAAUUUUGGGUGAAGCCUGCCCCAUGACUAAGUUAAAUGGCCGCGGUACUCUGACCGUGCUAAGGUAGCAUAAUCAAUUGGCUUUUAAAUGGAGUCUGGAAUGAAAGGAAAUACGGAGUAAAGCUGUCUCUAGACCUUUAUUAUGAAUUUACUAAUUAGGUGAAAAGGCCUAAGAAAGAAAAAAGACGAGAAGACCCUUAGAGUUUUCUUAUUUUGUUGGGGCGACACAGAGUCAAGAUGAACACUCUGAAUUUUAUGGGACGGAUUUAUCA
RNAcentral lists this ribosomal RNA (284 nucleotides) under Philine argentata. RNAcentral describes it as "partial 16S large subunit ribosomal RNA". It matches the Rfam family "Archaeal large subunit ribosomal RNA", at positions 1918 to 2400 of the family's 2987-position model. Lineage: Eukaryota; Metazoa; Mollusca; Gastropoda; Cephalaspidea; Philinidae. The record is from RNAcentral.